Molecule: long non-coding RNA, 388 nt
Organism: Coregonus clupeaformis (lake whitefish)
Lineage: Eukaryota; Metazoa; Chordata; Actinopteri; Salmoniformes; Salmonidae
Exons: 5
Source: RefSeq, a predicted model, not a curated record
CACAAUCACAACCAACCUACAGUAUAUCUAUAGCAAACGCGCAUUCUUCAUUCAAGUCAAUCAAUAUUUUUUAUUGUUCUCAGUAAGGGUUUUGGCCAACAAACAUUUAUAAUCAAUAAGGCCUCAUCACUCUCCAUGGAGGAGCAAAAAUGCUCAAGAGGCAAUUCUGUAUGCUGAAAGCCCAGGGAAGGCUCCCACUGGACCUCCCUCUGAGACCAAUGAAGGCCUGGCUCCUGGCAGGGAAAAGAGUCUUCCUGGAGCGUGAGGCAGAGACAUGGAAGAGAUGGAGGAAGGUCUCUGUAGCUGAAUUGACUUGGGAUGCAAAGAGGGGCCUGGAAUUACAGGAAACAGAGACAGAGAUAGUUAUCCUGCUCAGUGGCCAGAGAGU